CAAAAUUUAACCGAAAUUUGGCCGAAAUUCGGCCGAAAUUUGAACAAAACUUUAAAUAAAAUAGAGCAAAACAUAUCAGCACAACAACCAUCAGGAGAGAUCUUAUAAACUUUAGCAAAUAAGCUCUAGGGAUUAAGAAAAUUGAAUCUGCCCAACAUAACAGGCACACGUUAGCUAUAAUGUUGCCUCCAACAUAACAGUUAACAAUCCAACAUAGCAGACACACAUUAGUUAUAAAAUUGCCUCCAACAUAACCCUUAACAGUCCAACAUAACAGACACACAUUAGUUAUAAAGUUGCCUCUGACAUAAACCCUUAACCGUCCAGCAUCAGUUCAACCAUCACAGCAUAGUUCAAAGUUUAAAUAGUCCAGUACAGCCAAAAGACUUUAAAGCAUUAAACAUAGAAACAUCUCCAAAAGACAACCAUCAGCUUAUUUGAAGCAUCAGCUCCAAGCUUCCCAACAUCCAAAAGCUUCUUGAUAUCCUUUGCUCACGUGCCAUUUCUGGUUUGGAGAAAACAGAGGAAGGGUCAUGAUACAGAGUGCAUACAUCUAAGUAACUAGCAGUUCCAAGUAGCAACUAAAAUACUGUGUUAAGUAGCAAUUAGAACAACACUAAUAAGUGAUUG
RNAcentral lists this long non-coding RNA (630 nucleotides) under Triticum aestivum (bread wheat). RNAcentral describes it as "long non-coding RNA (TAES_LNC028232)". Lineage: Eukaryota; Viridiplantae; Streptophyta; Magnoliopsida; Poales; Poaceae. The record is from RNAcentral.